RNAcentral lists this small nucleolar RNA (90 nucleotides) under Tupaia belangeri (northern tree shrew). RNAcentral's name for it is "Small nucleolar RNA U13 (ENSTBEG00000021079.1)". The record is from RNAcentral. Lineage: Eukaryota; Metazoa; Chordata; Mammalia; Scandentia; Tupaiidae.
AAAAUUAAAGUGUGAUGAUUGUGUUUUCAUGCUGAGUGGGAGACGUGCCUCUCUCAACCUCAUUACACGCUGGCACAGUGCAAUCUGACA